RNAcentral lists this ribosomal RNA (496 nucleotides) under uncultured bacterium. Its description in RNAcentral is "partial 16S ribosomal RNA". It matches the Rfam family "Bacterial small subunit ribosomal RNA", at positions 28 to 506 of the family's 1533-position model. The record is from RNAcentral.
GAUGAACGCUGGCGGCGUGCCUAAUACAUGCAAGUCGAGCGAACAGAUGAGGAGCUUGCUCCUCUGACGUUAGCGGCGGACGGGUGAGUAACACGUGGAUAACCUACCUAUAAGACUGGGAUAACUUCGGGAAACCGGAGCUAAUACCGGAUAAUAUAUUGAACCGCAUGGUUCAAUAGUGAAAGACGGUUUUGCUGUCACUUAUAGAUGGAUCCGCGCCGCAUUAGCUAGUUGGUAAGGUAACGGCUUACCAAGGCAACGAUGCGUAGCCGACCUGAGAGGGUGAUCGGCCACACUGGAACUGAGACACGGUCCAGACUCCUACGGGAGGCAGCAGUAGGGAAUCUGCCGCAAUGGGCGAAAGCCUGACGGAGCAACGCCGCGUGAGUGAUGAAGGUCUUCGGAUCGUAAAACUCUGUUAUUAGGAAAGAACAAAUGUGUAAGUAACUAUGCACGUCUUGACGGAACCUAAUCAGAAAGCCACGGCUAACUACGG